UAUACUUUAUUACUUUUUGCAGGUUGAUUAUUUGGGACGAAUUGGGGGAAAAGAUGAAGGAAAUUCAAUACGCCGCAUACUAAGAACACUUUUAACUAAUAGUCUAACUUUGAAGCUAAACUGUCGGAAGAGGAAAAAAAGUCGGAAUUGGAAAAAUGACGAUUAUGCUUGUUGUUAUUGAAGCUGUGAAGACAAAUAAAUGUUUUUACAGCUAAAGAUUCAGAAUUAGAAGAUCUAAUUAAAGUAUGGCUCAGGCAGGCAUGUGAUAGGGAUGGAGGAAGAAAAGCGUAUAGUCGUGGGCAUCUCAGAUCAAUAGCAAAACACGAUUUGAUAAAAAGUAGCACCGUCGAAACUACUCAAUGAACUUUUUAGAAAAUUGUUCUAUUAAAAAAUUUUUUGUUAUGCUUUGCUUUAUGUAACGGAGUAGUUAUGUAAUAAAAUCUUCUAGUUAUAUCAUA
Molecule: non-coding RNA, 458 nt
Organism: Hydra vulgaris (swiftwater hydra)
Lineage: Eukaryota; Metazoa; Cnidaria; Hydrozoa; Anthoathecata; Hydridae
Source: RefSeq, a predicted model, not a curated record